RNAcentral lists this ribosomal RNA (599 nucleotides) under uncultured archaeon. RNAcentral describes it as "bacterial SSU rRNA". It matches the Rfam family "Archaeal small subunit ribosomal RNA", at positions 1 to 609 of the family's 1478-position model. The record is from RNAcentral.
UUCCGGUUGAUCCUGCCGGACCCGACUGCUAUCAGAGUAGGACUAAGCCAUGCGAGUCAACAUAGCAAUAUGUGGCAUACGGCUCAGUAACACGUAGUCAACAUGCCCAGGGGACGUGGAUAACCUCGGGAAACUGAGGAUAAACCGCGAUAGGUCAUUACUUCUGGAAUGGGUAAUGACUCAAACCUAUAUGGCCCCUGGAUUGGACUGCGGCCGAUCAGGCUGUUGGUGAGGUAAUGGCCCACCAAACCUGUAACCGGUACGGGCUCUGAGAGGAGGAGCCCGGAGAUGGGCACUGAGACAAGGGCCCAGGCCCUAUGGGGCGCAGCAGGCGCGAAACCUCUGCAAUAGGCGAAAGCUUGACAGGGUUACUCUGAGUGAUUUCCGUUAAGGAGAUCUUUUGGCACCUCUAAAAAUGGUGCAGAAUAAGGGGUGGGCAAGUCUGGUGUCAGCCGCCGCGGUAAUACCAGCACCCCGAGUGGUCGGGACGUUUAUUGGGCCUAAAGCAUCCGUAGCCGGUUCUACAAGUCUUCCGUUAAAUCCACCUGCUCAACAGAUGGGCUGCGGAAGAUACUAUAGAGCUAGGAGGCGGGAGAGGC